Long non-coding RNA from Ictalurus punctatus (channel catfish), 1131 nucleotides. Lineage: Eukaryota; Metazoa; Chordata; Actinopteri; Siluriformes; Ictaluridae. The record is from Ensembl.
CCGCAUCGUUGUCGAUGAGGUGAAGUUUUGUGUAAGGAGACGUUUAUUCAACAUUUAUGGAAGGAGUCUCCAGGGUCAGCGCUUUUGUAACAGUCUGAGGUAAAGCUGUAACUGCACACCAUAAUCUCACGCAUGCAGUAAUGAACGUUAAUCGCGUUUCUAAAAGUCUCGGUUAAACACGCCCCGUCACGACUCCUCUCACAACGUGUGCGCUUGUGGUUUUUGGUUUCGAUCCAUCUUUGUGCUCUUAAAUCACACGAGCAAUGCGUUAUGUCACUGCAUGUUUAGUUUAAUUUCUAAUACUUUACAGCGGAAAUAACAAAUUGCUAUCAUAAAUAGCGAAAGGAGUUUUGGAGGUUCAGCAUGUUAAUCUGUUCGGAGAGAUAAGGAGGUGUGACGUAUCUUGGUUUACCAGCACAGCAGAAAGAGAGAACAUGGUGAACUUCACGAGUCUCGUAUCUCCAUUCCUCUCCCUCUCAGCUGUUUGCACAAAGUCAGAGCUUUACACUGGACGGUUGAUGUUAAAUAUCUGAUAUUGGUCGGACUCCAUCAAAAGCACUUGAGAGGGGAAAAGGUAAUCCCUCCAUUCAUUUUCUGUACGGCGUAUCCCACACGGGGUCGCGGGGAACCUGGAGCCGAUGCCAGGGGACUCGGGGCACAAAGCGGGGGACACCGUGGACGGGGUGCCAACCCAUCGCAGGGCGCAAUCGUAUAUACACGUUCACACAUCAUGGACGACUUGGAAUUGCCUAUUAGCCUGCAGGGCAUGUCUUUGGACUAGUGGAGGAAACCUGAGUACCCGGAGGAAACCCCCGAAACACAGGGAGAACACGCACACUCCGUGCACACAGGGUGGAGGCGGGACUUGAGCACCCAACCCCGUAGUCGUGAGGCAAACAUGCUAACCACUAAGGCACACCUUGAAAUAUGAACCCUCUCGUUUUAUACAGAAUUGUUUGAUUUGAUUUUUAAAAAUAUAGGUGCCGAAUCACAAAUAAACGAGGCCGAUUUAAUCCAAAUCGUAUCAAUACUUUUAUUUGUUUGUUGAUUUAUUUAUUUAUUUAUUCAUCUUGUUUUAAUAUUACGCCUAGUGAAAUUUUAAAAUACUAAGUCACUUCCUUAGUAGAAGCC